UACAGAGGUCUCAAGCGUUGUCCGGAUUUAUUGGGCGUAAAGAGCGUGUAGGCGGCUAGGUAGGUCCGUUGUGAAAACUCGAGGCUCAACCUCGAGACGCCGGUGGAAACCAUCUAGCUAGAGUCCGGAAGAGGAGAGUGGAAUUCCUGGUGUAGCGGUGAAAUGCGCAGAUAUCAGGAAGAACACCCGUGGCGAAGGCGGCUCUCUGGUACGUGACUGACGCUGAGACGCGAAAGCGUGGGGAGCGAACAGG
RNAcentral lists this ribosomal RNA (253 nucleotides) under uncultured bacterium. RNAcentral describes it as "partial 16S ribosomal RNA". It matches the Rfam family "Bacterial small subunit ribosomal RNA", at positions 524 to 776 of the family's 1533-position model. The record is from RNAcentral.